AUGCUGACUUUGGGAGCACAUAGACUACAAUUGGAAUGAUACAGAGAAGACUAGGAUGGUCCCUGCGCAAGGAUGACACAGAAAUUCAUGAAGUGUUCUAUAUUUUU
This is a small nuclear RNA of Chlorocebus sabaeus (green monkey), 107 nucleotides long. Lineage: Eukaryota; Metazoa; Chordata; Mammalia; Primates; Cercopithecidae. The record is from Ensembl.